GCAGUCGUGGCUGAGUGGUUAAGGCGAUGGACAAGAAAGCCAUUGGGGUCUCCCUGCACAGGUUCGAAUCCUGUCGACUGCG
This 82-nucleotide transfer RNA is filed under the name Ixodes scapularis (black-legged tick). It matches the Rfam family "tRNA". Rfam says of the family: Transfer RNA (tRNA) molecules are approximately 80 nucleotides in length. Their secondary structure includes four short double-helical elements and three loops (D, anti-codon, and T loops). Further hydrogen bonds mediate the characteristic L-shaped molecular structure. tRNAs have two regions of fundamental functional importance: the anti-codon, which is responsible for specific mRNA codon recognition, and the 3' end, to which the tRNAs corresponding amino acid is attached (by aminoacyl-tRNA synthetases). tRNAs cope with the degeneracy of the genetic code in two manners: having more than one tRNA (with a specific anti-codon) for a particular amino acid; and 'wobble' base-pairing, i.e. permitting non-standard base-pairing at the 3rd anti-codon position. The record is from Rfam by way of RNAcentral. Lineage: Eukaryota; Metazoa; Arthropoda; Arachnida; Ixodida; Ixodidae.